UAAACAGAUUACUGACUUUACGUUUUUCUGCAGUUAACAUUGCAUACAUUUUCUGGAGGGUCUCGGGCGACUCAGCGCCCGCCGCCGCCCUCCCCUCUCCUCCGUCGCUGCCUGGAUUUUGGCCGCCGUCGAGGCGGCCCCAGCCAGAUCCUUCGCCCUCUCCCCUGGAUCCGGCGUCUCGUGCCAGAUCUCAGUGGAGCUCCGCCGCCACCGCUUCUCCACCUCUCCGUCGACGGAGGCGGUUGCUGAGCGCGGGUUCGUGCGCCGGACGACGGUGGCAAGGUCCUCCUCGAGCCUGUGGCUCCUGCUCCCUCUCACCCCCAGGCGCCGUCCGACGGCCCAGGUCCGGCGCCCUCAGCCAGAUCCGCGGCCUCCGACCGCGUGCGCCGUUGGUUUGACCUGCCUCGAGGAUCCGCUUCCGUCUCAAGGCUCGGCCCUUCGCAGGAUCCUCAGCCUUGAUCCGGUUCUGUGCCUCUUCUUCUUCUUUUCUCCGUUUUUCCUUGUUACUCCCUCCGUUCCAUAAUUCUUGUCUCAAAUUUGCCCAAAAUGGAUGUAUCUAUUCCUAAAAAGUGUCUAGAUACAUGUAAUAUUUCGAUAAGAAUUAUGGAACGGAGGGAGUAGCAUUUAGUGUAAGUUUAGUCUAAGUUUGGAUAUGUUCAUCUUUUAUUUCUCUUAGGUUGUGUCACUCUGCAAUUUGCAGGUGAUAUCGUUUUCCUAUUGCAAUCUGAUCUAUAAUUGUGCUAGAAAUCUCAAUUUGUGCUUUGCCUUUUGAGCUAAUCAUGCAUGUUAUAGAGGUUUUUUGCUGUAGAUGUUUAAUGGAGUUGCUUGACUGAUCGAAAAAGAUAGAUUGUACUGGAAAUUGGAGCCUUGGGGCAAAUUUUCAGAAGAAAUCCGAUACUCGAGAGGUCCUGCUAAGGUGCUCUCGUUGGAUGUGGUGAGUCAUGGCUGAGGCCUUCCGGCAUUUAUUCAGAGGUUGAUGUUGUGAGCGGCUGGAAAAUUGGCAAUGCUGAUACAGAUGUUGUGGUGGUGAUGAAACUACAAGUGUUGGGUCUUUUUUUGGUUUUCUGUUGUAUUGAACCCAUGUGUAAAGUAGUGUGUUCAGCGUUUGAAUGUGCUGGCCUGUAGGGCUGGUGCUUUGAAGCCUAUGAGUGUUUAUCCUAAAUUAUGUAAAAGAUAUUAUGGUUUCCUUUAAUGAAACCGGGGGCAGCCCCUUUUGAUCAAAAAAAAAUUGCAUGCAU
Molecule: long non-coding RNA, 1238 nt
Organism: Brachypodium distachyon (stiff brome)
Lineage: Eukaryota; Viridiplantae; Streptophyta; Magnoliopsida; Poales; Poaceae
Exons: 2
Source: RefSeq, a predicted model, not a curated record